RNAcentral lists this ribosomal RNA (243 nucleotides) under Blastocystis sp. Its description in RNAcentral is "partial 18S ribosomal RNA". It matches the Rfam family "Eukaryotic small subunit ribosomal RNA", at positions 87 to 348 of the family's 1831-position model. Lineage: Eukaryota; Bigyra; Opalinata; Blastocystidae. The record is from RNAcentral.
CUGCGAAUGGCUCAUUAUAUCAGUUAUAGUUUUUUUGAUGAAGAAUACUAAUUGGAUAACCGUAGUAAUUCUAGAGCUAAUACAUGUAUAAAGUCUUGUAGACUGCAUUUAUUAGAAUGAAAACCAUAGGUUUCGGCCUAUUCGUGAGUAAUAAUAACUAAUCAUAUCGUAUGCUUAUGUAACGAUGUGUCUUUCAAGUUUCUGCCCUAUCAGCUUUCGAUGGUAGUGUAUUGGACUACCAUG